RNAcentral lists this ribosomal RNA (253 nucleotides) under uncultured bacterium. Its description in RNAcentral is "partial 16S ribosomal RNA". It matches the Rfam family "Bacterial small subunit ribosomal RNA", at positions 526 to 779 of the family's 1533-position model. The record is from RNAcentral.
CGUAGGUCCCGAGCGUUGUCCGGAUUUAUUGGGCGUAAAGCGAGCGCAGGCGGUUAGAUAAGUCUGAAGUUAAAGGCUGUGGCUUAACCAUAGUACGCUUUGGAAACUGUUUAACUUGAGUGCAGAAGGGGAGAGUGGAAUUCCAUGUGUAGCGGUGAAAUGCGUAGAUAUAUGGAGGAACACCGGUGGCGAAAGCGGCUCUCUGGUCUGUAACUGACGCUGAGGCUCGAAAGCGUGGGGAGCGAACAGGAUU